AACCUAGCACACCUGCGGUGUGUACCUGCGGAGGGAUCAUUACAGAGAUUGAUGCACCAAGUGCAUCACCUCCAACCCCUUGCGAAAACAACUAUCAUGUGUUGCUUUGGCAGUGUUUCCACUGCCAGAGGUUUACAUAAAAUCAGCUGUUUGGAUGUUGUCUGAGUAAACUAUAUGAAUUAUUUAAAACUUUUAGCAACGGAUCU
Molecule: unclassified non-coding RNA, 206 nt
Filed under: soil metagenome
Description: partial contains 5.8S ribosomal RNA, internal transcribed spacer 2, and large subunit ribosomal RNA
Source: RNAcentral